AUGAAAAUCGAAGGAACUACUCUCCAGAGACCUCUACUCCUAAAUCAGAUCAUGCAACUUUCCUGCUCACUCACCAAGUUCCCAUCAAAGGUUGAAUGGAACACGUACUACUUGGGGCCCCUCUAUGAUCUGGCUUUGGCUCCUCCUUUAACCUCACAGUCUGCCCUGGAUGCUGAUAUGGUCAACAAGCAAGUUUCCAGCUCAGGGCCAACAUUCUUGCUCUUUCCACUGCCUUGGGCAGCCUUACUACAGAUUCCAGUGUGGCUGGCUCACUUCCUUUACAUCUGUCCUGACCACGCCAACUAAAACAUCAAUUCCCCGAGACCCUGAACGAGUUAACAGUGCACCCAUACAUAAAAGGACAUGCUGGAUUUUGUGUUGAAGGAAAAAAAGAGUACCUUUCCUAUCGCUCAACCAGCAAGUAUUGGUGCUUUCCUAAAUAUUGUUCACUUUCCCAACUGGAAGGUAAUGCCCAAACCAUUCACAGAAACUCCAGUAGUCUCCCUUAUUACAGCACCAAAAUACAAGAGCAACGACCACGGCAAUUAAGAUGUCAAAGACAAGUCAGACAGUGCUUCCUCUAAGUGCAAAGGUGAAAGCUAUCCACAUAAGGGAAGAAAAUAAACUAUGAUGAGGCUGCUAACAUUUAUAAUAAAAUAGUUUAAGAAAGCCUAUAUUCAUGUAAACUUUAUUAUACUGCAGUAUACUGAUAUAAAUGUUCCAUUUUAUUAUUAAUUAGAGUUAACC
Molecule: long non-coding RNA, 747 nt
Filed under: Fukomys damarensis (Damara mole-rat)
Lineage: Eukaryota; Metazoa; Chordata; Mammalia; Rodentia; Bathyergidae
Description: lncRNA (ENSFDAG00000032817.1)
Source: RNAcentral